CUUGACUAGGCCAGAGAGGCGUAAUGAAAGUAAAGUUGAUUNGAGUUAUGAUCUCCGCCAGGCCACGUACCUNUGCGUGUGUGGCGGUGGAGCGCAAUAACAGCCCGCUAGUUUCGCUUUAUGACGAUUUAGCGGAGUUGUAGCGUAUGCGUUGGUACCCGAAAGAUGGUGAACUAUGCCUGGGCAAGACGAAGCCAGAGGAAACUCUGGUGGAGGUCUGUAGCGAUUCUGACGUGCAAAUCGAUCGUCAGAC
RNAcentral lists this ribosomal RNA (253 nucleotides) under Steganacarus carinatus. RNAcentral's name for it is "partial 28S large subunit ribosomal RNA". It matches the Rfam family "Eukaryotic large subunit ribosomal RNA", at positions 695 to 910 of the family's 3401-position model. Lineage: Eukaryota; Metazoa; Arthropoda; Arachnida; Sarcoptiformes; Steganacaridae. The record is from RNAcentral.